Molecule: long non-coding RNA, 1342 nt
Filed under: Olea europaea subsp. europaea
Lineage: Eukaryota; Viridiplantae; Streptophyta; Magnoliopsida; Lamiales; Oleaceae
Source: RNAcentral
CUCUGGCACAUGUUGGAUUAAAAAAAAAAUGCCUGGUUGCAUUUUACUUUAAGUCUGUGUAUUUAAAACCAUGCAGUGAUUCAUUUGCUCCUUCACCCAACAUUAUAUAUCACAGAAAAAUGGUUUUUGGUUGAAAAGUCAAUUUCCCAGUGUUAUUCCAUGCAAUUUGUUUAUUUUUAAACAUUAAACGAAAAUAAUAUAACAGCUGGAAAAUGAGACUGAUUUAAGCCUCUGAAGCUCGCUUGUGGAACCCCCAUUCACUCCGUUACGCAAGAAAACCCAGUUUGGACACAUGUUAAGCUUGUGAAAGAUAGGAACCUUACUUUAGCUUGCAUCAAUUGUCAAAGAUCGGCUAGAAAGAUAAACUUGCCGAGUUUCAACCUUUCUUGAAUCUCACACUUUAGCUCGAUGAUUACAUCUCUAGGAUUUGAUCAUCUAUCCUGUAGUUUGAUCUUUUGUUUGGGAAUAUUAACUAAAUUAUGUACUCAAGUAUUGCUUCGAGAAAAGACUGGUUCACAAAAAUGGAGAAUUGUGCACAUAAUAUGGGAUAACUGGACAAUAAAUUGGUCAAACCAUUGGGGAAUAAUGGAAGAUGUAGAGGCAGCAUUGAUAAUACAGGGGUUGCUUUCUAGACUAUGAGGUGGGAUAUGCAAGAAGCUAAUGCGAAGAAUCAUUGUCACCUCUAGCUGAAUUAGUUGAACGUCGAGAUUAAAUAAGCAUGAAUGAGAGAAUGACAGCAUAAAUAUAUGCAAAGUGAGAUUUUAUGCAGCCUAUAAUAUUCUAGGAGCUCAAUACUGCAAUUUUUGUAGGCUUUGUGUAAUUUUGUGCUCUGCGAUCCCUUGUUUGCUAGUUUUAGCUCUUUUGGUUAUGGAGAAGCUUGUUUAUGCUUAUUCGAGAUACUUCUACUAAGCUUGAUUAGGUGGAAAAGUUACUGCAAACUAAUUAUAUAGUGUGUGUAUAUAGACACACACACAUACUUACAAGGAGAUGGAGUGUUGUCUGUUCUCUAAUGUUGCUCUUGAUAGACCCCUUGUAACGCCCCGACCCGCAUGGACGGAAACGUUACUCAACCAUUGUACCUUAGCCGUAAAGUUAGUUCAAUAUAUUUUUAUUAGAAGGUAUAAAGAUUAAAAUUUUAGAAUUUAAUUAAAGAAUUUUCUUUUUUUUAUUUAGACAAUAAUUCCAAUUUUAAAAGAAAACAAUUUCAAUUUUUUUUUUUUUUGAAUGGGUUCCAUGCAUGUAACGGCUAUUGACAUGAAAUUUUGGCAAAACUUAAAAACUAAUGUUGCUGUUCCAUUUUUUUUUUUUUUUUUUUUUUUUUUUUUUUUUUUGUCUCAAACAG